UAAGUACUCCCUCCGUCCGAAAAUACUUGUCAUCAAAAUGGAUAAAAAAAUAUAUUUAAAACUAGAAUACGUCUAAAUACAUCUUCUUUUAUUCAUUUUGAUGACAAGUAUUUCUGGAUGGAGAGAGUAGUUU
This is a non-coding RNA of Triticum aestivum (bread wheat), 133 nucleotides long. NCBI's taxonomy places the organism in Eukaryota, Viridiplantae, Streptophyta, Magnoliopsida, Poales, Poaceae. The record is from Rfam.